UUUAUGGAGAGUUUGAUCCUGGCUCAGGAUGAACGCUGGCGGCGUGCCUAAUACAUGCAAGUCGAGCGAACAGAUAAGGAGCUUGCUCCUUUGACGUUAGCGGCGGACGGGUGAGUAACACGUGGGUAACCUACCUAUAAGACUGGAAUAACUCCGGGAAACCGGGGCUAAUGCCGGAUAACAUGUUGAACCGCAUGGUUCUACAGUGAAAGACGGUCUUGCUGUCACUUAUAGAUGGACCCGCGCCGUAUUAGCUAGUUGGUGGGGUAACGGCCUACCAAGGCGACGAUACGUAGCCGACCUGAGAGGGUGAUCGGCCACACUGGAACUGAGACACGGUCCAGACUCCUACGGGAGGCAGCAGUAGGGAAUCUUCCGCAAUGGGCGAAAGCCUGACGGAGCAACGCCGCGUGAGUGAUGAAGGUCUUCGGAUCGUA
RNAcentral lists this ribosomal RNA (437 nucleotides) under Staphylococcus pseudintermedius. RNAcentral's name for it is "bacterial SSU rRNA". It matches the Rfam family "Bacterial small subunit ribosomal RNA", at positions 1 to 427 of the family's 1533-position model. Lineage: Bacteria; Bacillati; Bacillota; Bacilli; Caryophanales; Staphylococcaceae. The record is from RNAcentral.